This 253-nucleotide ribosomal RNA is filed under the name uncultured bacterium. Its description in RNAcentral is "partial 16S ribosomal RNA". It matches the Rfam family "Bacterial small subunit ribosomal RNA", at positions 524 to 776 of the family's 1533-position model. The record is from RNAcentral.
UCCGUAGUGUGCAAGCGUUAAUCGGAAUUACUGGGCUGAAAGCGUGCGCAGGCGGCUUUGCAAGACAGAUGUGAAAUCCCCGGGCUUAACCUGGGAACUGCAUUUGUGACUGCAUGGCUGGAGUGCGGCAGAGGGGGAUGGAAUUCCGCGUGUAGCAGUGAAAUGCGUAGAUAUGCGGAGGAACACCGAUGGCGAAGGCAAUCCCCUGGGCCUGCACUGACGCUCAUGCACGAAAGCGUGGGGAGCAAACAGG